This 996-nucleotide long non-coding RNA is filed under the name Calidris pygmaea (Spoon-billed sandpiper). Its description in RNAcentral is "lncRNA (ENSCPGG00000014614.1)". The record is from RNAcentral. Lineage: Eukaryota; Metazoa; Chordata; Aves; Charadriiformes; Scolopacidae.
CUACUUACGUUUGAAGCAGCUUGGGCCUGAUGAGGAAGAGGACCUUCUUGAAAGAAAAUCAGCAGAUGAAAUCUGGAUACUUCGUCCUUCCCCAUGAGACCUGGAGGGCUCUUGCAUUCGUAAAUUGUUGUUACGAGCAAGGAAAAAAAAUCAUAAAACUGACACCAAAACAGAGAGAAAAGUGAAAAAAUCAGUGGAGAAUGGAUAAGCUGACAAAUGUGAUUUUUCAGCUGGGAUUAAUAAUGCACCUAUUCAACAGAAGGAUUUGGCCUAAAGUCAGAAAGAUGAGAUAAACAGGAUAACGAUUAAAACACAAAAACAUAUGGUAUCACCAACUGCGUGAAGAUCAACAUUAGAUUAAAUCCCAUUCAGUAAGCAGUGUUUAUGCAUCUCUCAGCCAGACAGGAUGUUCUACUGAUGUUUCAGACCGGGCUCCAGCUGAGUCGUAUGAAGUACAGGGACUGUACCUUGCUGCUGAAGCAAUCAUCGAUUUGUUGUGAUUGUGUCCAACCUCAAUCUCCUGCAUUUCAAAGACUCGCUGACGCAGAUAAACCCAGUGUUCCUAAGUCUGGAUUUCUCCAACAAAUUGCCAGGUGAGCCUUUCUGCUCAGCCCUGAAGAGGUGAGCAUCUGGGACACAAACAGAAACCCCUCACUCAUCAACUACAGAGUGCACUCGAGUUGAGCAGCUGUUUGCCUUUCCGUGCUACAAUAUCCUAGAAACCCCAAGGUAUCUCAGGUAUGUUCAGAGAAGAAAGAAGGAAAAAAAAAAAAGCACCUCUAGACUUUUCACGACAUAAGAAAGCAUAAAAGCCUGCCUAAUAUUUCAUACAAAUAACCCUGAUAAGCAAGGAAUUAUUCCCAUGUGCAAAGUAUGCCAAGAGGAGCUGAAAUCUAUCACCUCUUAUGAAUUAGAAGCUUGUUACUGUUUAUUGGCAUGCUGCAUAUGUAUUUCAUUAAUUCUUCAUAAUAAUCUGUUUUCAAAUAAAAAAAGUAA